Molecule: non-coding RNA, 44 nt
Organism: Triticum aestivum (bread wheat)
Lineage: Eukaryota; Viridiplantae; Streptophyta; Magnoliopsida; Poales; Poaceae
Source: Rfam
CCAGAGGCUUUAUUCAGCCACACAUAUUUUCAAAAAGAAGAAGU